GAUGAACGCUGGCGGCGUGCCUAAUACAUGCAAGUCGAGCGAACGGAUGAGAAGCUUGCUUCUCUGAUGUUAGCGGCGGACGGGUGAGUAACACGUGGAUAACCUACCUAUAAGACUGGGAUAACUUCGGGAAACCGGAGCUAAUACCGGAUAAUAUUUUGAACCGCAUGGUUCAAAAGUGAAAGACGGUCUUGCCGUCACUUAUAGAUGGAUCCGCGCUGCAUUAGCUAGUUGGUAAGGUAACGGCUUACCAAGGCAACGAUGCAUAGCCGACCUGAGAGGGUGAUCGGCCACACUGGAACUGAGACACGGUCCAGACUCCUACGGGAGGCAGCAGUAGGGAAUCUUCCGCGAUGGGCGAAAGCCUGACGGAGCAACGCCGCGUGAGUGAUGAAGGUCUUCGGAUCGUAAAACUCUGUUAUUAGGGAAGAACAUAUGUGUAAGUAACUGUGCACAUCUUGACGGUACCUAAUCAGAAAGCCACGGCUAACUACGUG
This 497-nucleotide ribosomal RNA is filed under the name uncultured bacterium. RNAcentral's name for it is "partial 16S ribosomal RNA". It matches the Rfam family "Bacterial small subunit ribosomal RNA", at positions 28 to 507 of the family's 1533-position model. The record is from RNAcentral.